RNAcentral lists this long non-coding RNA (379 nucleotides) under Ursus maritimus (polar bear). Its description in RNAcentral is "lncRNA (ENSUMAG00000020137.1)". Lineage: Eukaryota; Metazoa; Chordata; Mammalia; Carnivora; Ursidae. The record is from RNAcentral.
CAAAUUCAAGCCAUUUGAGAAAAAGUUGGAGACACUCUUUAUGGACCCUAGAAUGCCUCUGGGCUCCACCCCUGUUCCAUUCUCCUCUCCACCCAUUCAUCCAGGUGCUGUGCGUCCUGGAAAGCUUCAGCGUGGCCUGCAGUCAAGCACAGGGAAGUCCCCUCGUGUUCUCCUGGUCUGCUGGGGAGCACCAGAGCCAUUCUUUGAAGGCAGGAGCAGAGAACUGCGCUUGAUUUUGGGCUCGUCCUCUACACCUCCUCCAUUUCUCCCCGAAUUGGAGGCUCUCCUUCAGUUCCAGGUUGCCAAAGAACAAAGUCACAGAAAGCCCUCAUCCCCUGGACCUCUCCCACCAUCCCCAGCUGUCGCCCGUGGAUUCUCC